RNAcentral lists this ribosomal RNA (915 nucleotides) under uncultured bacterium. Its description in RNAcentral is "bacterial SSU rRNA". It matches the Rfam family "Bacterial small subunit ribosomal RNA", at positions 8 to 916 of the family's 1533-position model. The record is from RNAcentral.
AGAGUUUGAUCAUGGCUCAGGAUGAACGCUGGCGGCGUGCUUAACACAUGCAAGUCGAACGGGCGCACAGAGGGAAACGGUAUUCGUACUGAAUCCGCUGUGAGCUAGUGGCGGACGGGUGAGUAACACGUGAGUAAUCUGCCUCAAGCAGUGGAAUAACAACGGGAAACCGUUGCUAAUACCGCAUAGAGUCACUUCUUGGCAUCGAGAAGAGAUAAAAGGGAGUAAUCCCGGCCUGAGAUGAGCUCGCGUCCGAUUAGGUAGUUGGUGAGGUAAUGGCUCACCAAGCCCGCGAUCGGUAGCCGGACUGAGAGGUUGAUCGGCCACAUUGGGACUGAGACACGGCCCAGACUCCUACGGGAGGCAGCAGUGGGGAAUAUUGGGCAAUGGGGGAAACCCUGACCCAGCGACGCCGCGUGAAGGAUGAAGGCCUUCGGGUUGUAAACUUUUUUGGAUAGGGACGAAGAAAUGACGGUACCCAUCGAACAAGCCACGGCUAACUACGUGCCAGCAGCCGCGGUAAUACGUAGGUGGCGAGCGUUAUCCGGAAUUACUGGGUGUAAAGGGCGUGUAGGCGGAUGAACAAGUCUGAUGUGAAAUCUUGCGGCUUAACUGCAAGCUGUCAUUAGAAACUGUAUAUCUUGAGUGUCAGAGGGGAAAGUGGAAUUCCUAGUGGAGCGGUAAAAUGCGUAGAUAUUAGGAGGAACACCGGUGGCGAAGGCGACUUUCUGGCUGACAACUGACGCUGAGGCGCGAAAGCGUGGGGAGCAAACAGGAUUAGAUAUCCUGUAGUCCACGCCGUAAACGAUGAAUACUAGGUGUAGGAGGUAUCGACUCCUUCUGUGCCGGAGCAACGCAUUAAGUAUUCCACCCGGGGAGUACGGCCGCAAGGUUAAAACUCAAAGGAAUUGACGG